This 253-nucleotide ribosomal RNA is filed under the name uncultured bacterium. RNAcentral's name for it is "partial 16S ribosomal RNA". It matches the Rfam family "Bacterial small subunit ribosomal RNA", at positions 524 to 776 of the family's 1533-position model. The record is from RNAcentral.
UACGUAGGGGGCAAGCGUUGUCCGGAAUCACUGGGCGUAAAGCGCACGUAGGCGGACUCUUAAGUCGGUGGUGAAAUCCUGGAGCUCAACUCCAGAACUGCCUUCGAUACUGGGAGUCUCGAGUCCGGGAGAGGUGAGUGGAACUGCGAGUGUAGAGGUGAAAUUCGUAGAUAUUCGCAAGAACACCAGUGGCGAAGGCGGCUCACUGGCCCGGUACUGACGCUGAGGUGCGAAAGCGUGGGGAGCAAACAGG